AUCCUGAAACCGUGUGCCUACAACAAGUCAAAGCUCGUUAAUGAGUGAUGGCGUGCCUUUUGUAGAAUGAACCGGCGAGUUACGAUUGCAUGCGAGGUUAAGUCGAAGAGACGGAGCCGCAGCGAAAGCGAGUCUGAAUAGGGCGAAUGAGUAUGUAGUCGUAGACCCGAAACCAUGUGAUCUACCCAUGUCCAGGUUGAAGGUGCGGUAAAACGCACUGGAGGACCGAACCCACGUACGUUGAAAAGUGCGGGGAUGAGGUGUGGGUAGCGGAGAAAUUCCAAACGAACUUGGAGAUAGCUGGUUCUCUCCGAAAUAGCUUUAGGGCUAGCCUCGGAAUUGAGAAUGAUGGAGGUAGAGCACUGUUUGGACUAGGGGCC
This 380-nucleotide ribosomal RNA is filed under the name Parabacteroides goldsteinii. RNAcentral describes it as "partial 23S ribosomal RNA". It matches the Rfam family "Bacterial large subunit ribosomal RNA", at positions 547 to 927 of the family's 2925-position model. The record is from RNAcentral. RNAcentral also lists the same sequence under 1 other name. Lineage: Bacteria; Pseudomonadati; Bacteroidota; Bacteroidia; Bacteroidales; Tannerellaceae.